This 465-nucleotide ribosomal RNA is filed under the name uncultured bacterium. RNAcentral describes it as "partial 16S ribosomal RNA". It matches the Rfam family "Bacterial small subunit ribosomal RNA", at positions 28 to 507 of the family's 1533-position model. The record is from RNAcentral.
GACGAACGCUGGCGGCGUGCUUAACACAUGCAAGUCGAACGGAAAGGCCCCUUUGGGGGUACUCGAGUGGCGGACGGGUGAGUAACACGUGAGUAACCUGCCCUUGACUUCGGGAUAACUUCAGGAAACUGGGGCUAAUACCGGAUAGGAAUCCUUGCUGCAUGGAGGGGGUUGGAAAGCUUCGGCGGUUUUGGGUGGACUCGCGGCCUAUCAGCUUGUUGGUGGGGUAGUGGCUUACCAAGGCUUUGUCGGGUAGCCGGCCUGGGAGGGCGGACGGCCACAUUGGGACUGAGAUAAGGCCCAGACUCCUACGGGGGGCAGCAGUGGGGAAUAUUGCACAAUGGGCGGAAGCCUGAUGCAGCAACGCCGCGGGCGGGAUGACGGCCUUCGGGUUGGAAACCGCUUUUAGCAGGGGCGAAGCUUGUGGUGACGGUACCUGCAGAAGAAGCACCGGCUAACUACGUG